Molecule: ribosomal RNA, 497 nt
Filed under: uncultured bacterium
Lineage: Bacteria
Description: partial 16S ribosomal RNA
Rfam family: Bacterial small subunit ribosomal RNA
Source: RNAcentral
GAUGAACGCUGGCGGCGUGCCUAAUACAUGCAAGUCGAGCGAACAGACGAGGAGCUUGCUCCUCUGACGUUAGCGGCGGACGGGUGAGUAACACGUGGAUAACCUACCUAUAAGACUGGGAUAACUUCGGGAAACCGGAGCUAAUACCGGAUAAUAUAUUGAACCGCAUGGUUCAAUAGUGAAAGACGGUUUUGCUGUCACUUAUAGAUGGAUCCGCGCCGCAUUAGCUAGUUGGUAAGGUAACGGCUUACCAAGGCAACGAUGCGUAGCCGACCUGAGAGGGUGAUCAGCCACACUGGAACUGAGACACGGUCCAGACUCCUACGGGAGGCAGCAGUAGGGAAUCUUCCGCAAUGGGCGAAAGCCCGACGGAGCAACGCCGCGUGAGUGAUGAAGGUCUUCGGAUCGUAAAACUCUGUUAUUAGGGAAGAACAAAUGUGUAAGUAACUAUGCACGUCUUGACGGUACCUAAUCAGAAAGCCACGGCUAACUACGUG